Suricata suricatta (meerkat) is the source of this 1962-nucleotide long non-coding RNA. Lineage: Eukaryota; Metazoa; Chordata; Mammalia; Carnivora; Herpestidae. The record is from Ensembl.
GACCCCAGCUUGCCUCAACACUGGAAUCAUGAAUGUGCUUUAAAAAGAAUGAAGAGAUCCUCUGUCAAACCCAGACCUACUAAAAAAAUAAUACAUAAGAACAAGGCCAUCUACACAUUUAUUUAAGUGAUUCUUACAAUCAACCAGAGAACCACCUCUCUAGUCUUCCUUCAUUGAGAUAAAUAAAUCCAUCAGAUUAGCAACUCGCCAUUACCAGCAGGGCAGGUCAGCCUUCAAUCAGGGGCAAAGAUUAGGGAUGGAAGGCAAGGAUUAGAGGGACAAAGAAGAAGCAAGAGCGGGGUGAUGUGGGCCACACAGAGGCAUCUCACAGAAAGGCCCCAUGUGGGCCAAAGAGGAUUCUUGGCAUGGCUGUCUGAAUGGUUUUAAAGACUGGUUUGUCAAAAGAAGACAGUGGCAAAGCCCACUUGGCCUUUUUCAAGUGAAAACGAAAAUCCUGCAUCUGUCAGUAGUGUCCACCAUCUUUCUGCUAUUCUUCAACAUGAGGAAUCAGAGCUAUCUCUUCAAACUCCAUUCCUUUCAUAGGUGCGAAAGAGAGGAACUCUGAACCCAGACACUUCAAUGCAACAUACACAUAGGUGAUCUCUUAGCUUACCUUUCCCACCUGGGAGAGCACAUCCCCGGCUCAUUUACUCAUUCAAUCAUUUAAUUAACCACCAUUUACUGAGCAAACAUAAUAGGUUGAAAAAAGGCAAACUGGCUUGGUGGGUCCGUAGUAGACUAUGAACUUUACUAUGAUGACACAAGAGGAAAAAGAAGUGGAACACGAUGUGGUGUUGGCAGCACCCAAAUCAUACAGACUCUUAAACGUCUCUAUGUCUGUUUUAAGGAGGAGAAGAACCUGGCACCCCCCACCCCUACCUGAGCUUAUACAUACACAGCAGAAGAGAACAGAGGCUGCUCAAAGACAUGGGAUAUGGAGAAGAAAACAGCAAAGUGUCUGUCCUCAAGCAAGCUGCUCUACCCAGCAAAUUAUCUAUUGUUAUAUUGUUGUAAACCUUCCCCACUCUCUCCAGUACAAAUCAUCGAAUUUCUGUCACUAAUUUGCUGUGUGAUCCUGUGUAUUUCAUGUAACUCCUCUGAGCUGUCAUUUUAUCAACUUAAAUUCUGUCAAAUAACGUUUUUAUUCUAACUCAAAGAAAUGUAUCAAAUUCUCUGAACUCUCCAGGGGAAAAGAUGUCAUAAGCCAAAGAUGAAAUACAUCGUCACACAUUAAAAUGAUGUUUUUGUUAUUAAACUUUUUAUUCAAACCUCAACAAGGGGAAACAAUUCCAAAGACAAAACAACCUCUGUUAUAGAUAUUUAAAGCUUUACACUGCUUGUACUACAACAAAGCUCUAUCAUGUAAUUUUUUUCUUAUGCAUGACAUCAAUUUGCACCCUCCUAUUCCUCCUUGCAUUUUUGAAAAAUUUAAGAUUCACCUUUGCUAAGUGACAUAGCCAUUUCCUUCCCCUGCCCAAAUGAAAGGAAAGUUUCAUAUCAGAGAAGUGAGGUGAUAAAAGUUUAAAAUUAAAAGUCCCUGACCAUGUUCCAAAGCUUUUUUAUACCAUCAGCAGUACUUACCAUCACAAUGUGGGGAGAAGAAGAACAAUGAAGACAGAAGAAUUAGAGGAAAACAGAUGUAGAGAGGAUACAAGGUACCUUUAUUCACUUUAUGACUCCAGGUUUUAGAAUUAACAUCAUCUUUUAAAAAUCUCAUCUUGGGGGCAUCCAACCCUUGAUUUCAGCUCAGAUCAUGAUCUCACCAUUCAUGAGAGUGAGCCCCGAGUGGGGCUCUGCACUGACAGCAUGGAGCCUGCUUUGGAUUCUCUCUCCUCUCUCUCUCUCUCUCUGCCCCUUCCCUCCCUUUCGUUUGCUCUCUUUCUCUCAAAAUAAAUGUUUAAAAAAAUCCAUCUUGGUGAGAUGGGUAAAUGCGAGUCAAUGAAUAAUGGUCAGAGAAAAUAA